GGAUUGGAGCAACCUUCACCUUCAUCUCUUGAUGAUUAAUGCACAUAUAAAGGUAAUUCAAUUAUAGAAUAUCUAGUGGGCAUCUGAUAAUGGUUUUUUUACUGGAAACUGAUUAUUAGAAGGAGAGGAUGCCAUGACGAGAAACAAGAGGACUGUACUGUAGUUACAAAUAUGCGUUUCCAGAGUGGGAUACUGAUCUUGGAUCUGCAAGUUGAUCUGACUCUUAAGCUCCAGAAAAGUUUGAUAUUGCUUAUUAUUGUUCUCAAA
RNAcentral lists this unclassified non-coding RNA (267 nucleotides) under Hevea brasiliensis (rubber tree). Lineage: Eukaryota; Viridiplantae; Streptophyta; Magnoliopsida; Malpighiales; Euphorbiaceae. The record is from RNAcentral.